UAUGUGAAAAUAAAGAAAAUGCAG
RNAcentral lists this non-coding RNA (24 nucleotides) under Cricetulus griseus (Chinese hamster). The record is from RNAcentral. Lineage: Eukaryota; Metazoa; Chordata; Mammalia; Rodentia; Cricetidae.